GAAAUGCGAUAAGUAAUGUGAAUUGCAGAAUUCAGUGAAUCAUCGAAUCUUUGAACGCACCUUGCGCUCCUUGGUAUUCCUUGGAGCAUGCCUGAUUGAGUAUCAUGAAAUCUUCAAAGUAAAUCUUUUGUUAACUCAAUUGGUUUCUACUUUGGUAUUGGAGGUCUUUGCAGCUUCACACCUGCUCCUCUUUGUUCAUUAGCUGGAUCUCAGUGUUAUGCUUGGUUCCACUCGGCGUGAUAAGUUAUCUAUCGCUGAGGACACUGUAAAAGGUGGCCAAGGUAAAUGCAGAUGAACCGCUUCUAAUAGUCCAUUGACUUGGACAAUACUUUUAUGAUCUGAUCUCAAAUCAGGUAGGACUACCCGCUGAACUUAAGC
Molecule: unclassified non-coding RNA, 378 nt
Filed under: plant metagenome
Description: partial contains 5.8S ribosomal RNA, internal transcribed spacer 2, and large subunit ribosomal RNA
Rfam family: 5.8S ribosomal RNA (bases 1-105)
Source: RNAcentral